CCCUAGCCCCGAUUGCAGCGGCUACCCCACAGCGAACCUGAAAGGCGAGCGAGGAGUAAUAGCGGAAAGCGGGAAAUAGC
Molecule: small RNA, 80 nt
Filed under: Chryseobacterium taeanense
Lineage: Bacteria; Pseudomonadati; Bacteroidota; Flavobacteriia; Flavobacteriales; Weeksellaceae
Description: Flavo-1 RNA
Rfam family: Flavo-1 RNA
Source: RNAcentral